UACAGAGGGGGCAAGCGUUGUUCGGAAUUACUGGGCGUAAAGGGCGCGUAGGCGGCCUUCUAAGUCGAACGUGAAAUCCCCGGGCUCAACCCGGGAACUGCGUCCGAGACUGAAAGGCUCGAAUCCGGGAGAGGGAUGUGGAAUUCCACGUGUAGCGGUGAAAUGCGUAGAUAUCAGGAGGAACACCGAUGGCGAAGGCAGGUCUCUGGGCUGACACUGACGCUCAUGCACGAAAGCGUAGGGAGCAAACAGG
This 253-nucleotide ribosomal RNA is filed under the name uncultured bacterium. Its description in RNAcentral is "partial 16S ribosomal RNA". It matches the Rfam family "Bacterial small subunit ribosomal RNA", at positions 524 to 776 of the family's 1533-position model. The record is from RNAcentral.